Molecule: non-coding RNA, 1401 nt
Organism: Chlorocebus sabaeus (green monkey)
Lineage: Eukaryota; Metazoa; Chordata; Mammalia; Primates; Cercopithecidae
Source: RefSeq, a predicted model, not a curated record
CCUCCCCGCACAUGCGCGGCUCUCCAGGACCGGCUUGCUCACACUCGGACUUCCGGCAGUACCCGCUGGACCAAAGCGGUGCGGAGAAAGGGACAGCCUGGGCACGGACACACACCUGAGAGCUUCCCGUUUGUCUUUCCGCAUCUCCACUUCAUCGCUGGUUUUAUUCUUGGUCCUCUCGUUUCAGCGAAUCCCUCAGAGGAGUUUCAGCAUUUGGGGAUUUGAAUGGCCCAUGACCAAUAUUGUGAAAGGACUUUUGUUUGCUGCAAUGAAAAGGAGACUCCUAUUUCCCAAUAAUGAACUUAACUUAAACAAGUAUUAAAAUAUGCUCAUUAAAGCUGUCAGAAGCGACGGCGGUCUUCAUGUUAAUUUUUACGAACCUGGUGAAUCCCGUGCAGGAUUGAUGUUGCAUUCACGGGAAACCCGACCUCCUUUAACCAAGGACUGGGUGCGCCCCCAGCUAAUCCUCCUGCCCAUCAGAGAAUAGUGCUCUUUAAAGUUUUAAACGAUUAUAUAUUAUUUAUUUUGUAGUAAACCAUUACACAUAGAAAAUUAAAAUUCAAAAUCACAAUCACCAGGAUAUCAUAAUUUGCUAUAUAACAACAUAUAAUAGAUGAAAUGGGCUCCAGUGCGCGUGCCUGUAAUCCCAGCUACUCAGGAGGCUGAGGCAGAAGAAUCACUUGAACCCGGGCGUCAGAGGUUGCAGUGAGCCGAGAUCGCGCCACUGAGCUCCAGCCUGGGUGACAGAGCCAGACUCCGUCUCAAAAAAACAACAACAAAAAACAAAACUAACAAACAAAGAAAUGGGCUCUAGGUCCAGCGCUGUGGCCCACACCUGUAAUCCCAGCACUUUGGGAGGCCAAGAUUUGCCUAUUCUGGACGUUUCAUAUUAAGGGAACCAUAAAAUAUGUGGACUGACUGAUUUUAUUGAGAUAUGAUUGGCAUGCCAUAAAAUUCACCUUUUAAAGAUUGUUGUGGCUCUUAUUAGAUCCCUUGCAUUUCCAUAUGAAUUCUAGGGUCAUCUUGUCCAUUUCUGCAAAAAUGGCAGCUGGAAUUUUGAGAGAGACUACGUUGAAUCUGUGCCUCCAAUUAGGAGUAUGGCGACCCUAACAAUAGUAAGUCUUGUAAUACAUGCAUCCAGUGUCUUUUCAUUUAAGUCUUCAUUAAUUUCUUUCAAUGAUGAUUUGUAGUUUUAGUGUACAAGUAUUGCGUUUCUUUUUAAAAUUUAGUCCUAAGUAUUUUAUUCUUGUUACUUUGUAAAUAAAGCCAAUUUCUUCAUUUCAAUAUCAGAUUAUUCAUUAUGAAGUAUUGACUUUUUGUAUGUUGCUAGUGUAUUCUGCAGCCUUGUUGAAUUCAUUUAUUAGCUCUAAUAAGUUGUGUGUGUGUGUGUGUGUGUGUGUG